AACGCGAAGAACCUUACCUGGGCUUGACAUGGAGAGGACGACAUCAGAAAUGGUGUUUCCCCGCAAGGGGCCUUUUCACAGGUGCUGCAUGGCUGUCGUCAGCUCGUGCCGUGAGGUGUUGGGUUAAGUCCCGCAACGAGCGCAACCCUUGUCGUUAGUUGCCAGCGCGUAAUGGCGGGCACUCUAGCGAGACUGCCUCGGUUAACGAGGAGGAAGGUGAGGAUGACGUCAAGUCCGCAUGGCCCUUAUGCCCAGGGCUACACACGUGCUACAAUGGUCGGUACAGAAGGAAGCCAAGUCGCGAGAUGGAGCAAAUCCUAUAAAGCCGGCCCCAGUUCAGAUUGUAGUCUGCAACUCGACUACAUGAAGAUGGAAUUGCUAGUAAUGGCGAGUCAGCAACAUCGCCGUGAAUACGUUCCCGGGCCUUGUA
This 430-nucleotide ribosomal RNA is filed under the name uncultured Chlamydiae bacterium. Its description in RNAcentral is "bacterial SSU rRNA". It matches the Rfam family "Bacterial small subunit ribosomal RNA", at positions 958 to 1385 of the family's 1533-position model. The record is from RNAcentral. Lineage: Bacteria; Pseudomonadati; Chlamydiota; Chlamydiia.